GACGAACGCUGGCGGCGUGCUUAACACAUGCAAGUCGAACGGAAAGGCCCUGCUUUUGUGGGGUGCUCGAGUGGCGAACGGGUGAGUAACACGUGAGUAACCUGCCCUUGACUUUGGGAUAACUUCAGGAAACUGGGGCUAAUACCGGAUAGGAGCUCCUGCUGCAUGGUGGGGGUUGGAAAGUUUCGGCGGUUGGGGAUGGACUCGCGGCUUAUCAGCUUGUUGGUGGGGUAGUGGCUUACCAAGGCUUUGACGGGUAGCCGGCCUGAGAGGGUGACCGGCCACAUUGGGACUGAGAUACGGCCCAGACUCCUACGGGAGGCAGCAGUGGGGAAUAUUGCACAAUGGGCGGAAGCCUGAUGCAGCAACGCCGCGUGCGGGAUGACGGCCUUCGGGUUGUAAACCGCUUUCGCCCGUGACGAAGCGUGAGUGACGGUAAUGGGUAAAGAAGCACCGGCUAACUACGUGCCAGCAGCCGCGGUGAUACGUAGGGUGCGAGCGUUGUCCGGAUUUAUUGGGCGUAAAGGGCUCGUAGGUGGUUGAUCGCGUCGGAAGUGUAAUCUUGGGGCUUAACCCUGAGCGUGCUUUCGAUACGGGUUGACUUGAGGAAGGUAGGGGAGAAUGGAAUUCCUGGUGGAGCGGUGGAAUGCGCAGAUAUCAGGAGGAACACCAGUGGCGAAGGCGGUUCUCUGGGCCUUUCCUGACGCUGAGGAGCGAAAGCGUGGGGAGCGAACAGGCUUAGAUACCCUGGUAGUCCACGCUGUAAACGGUGGGUACUAGGUGUGGGGUCCAUUCCACGGGUUCCGUGCCGUAGCUAACGCUUUAAGUACCCCGCCUGGGGAGUACGGCCGCAAGGCUAAAACUCAAAGGAAUUGACGGGGCCCCGCACAAGCGGCGGAGCAUGCGGAUUAAUUCGAUGCAACGCGUAGAACCUUACCUGGGUUUGACAUGGAUCGGGAGUGCUCAGAGAUGGGUGUGCCUCUUUUGGGGUCGGUUCACAGGUGGUGCAUGGCUGUCGUCAGCUCGUGUCGUGAGAUGUUGGGUUAAGUCCCGCAACGAGCGCAACCCUUGUUCACUGUUGCCAGCACGUUAUGGUGGGGACUCAGUGGAGACCGCCGGGGUCAACUCGGAGGAAGGUGGGGAUGACGUCAAGUCAUCAUGCCCCUUAUGUCCAGGGCUUCACGCAUGCUACAAUGGCUGGUACAGAGAGUGGCGAGCCUGUGAGGGUGAGCGAAUCUCGGAAAGCCGGUCUCAGUUCGGAUUGGGGUCUGCAACUCGACCUCAUGAAGUCGGAGUCGCUAGUAAUCGCAGAUCAGCAACGCUGCGGUGAAUACGUUCCCGGGGC
This 1345-nucleotide ribosomal RNA is filed under the name uncultured bacterium. RNAcentral describes it as "partial 16S ribosomal RNA". It matches the Rfam family "Bacterial small subunit ribosomal RNA", at positions 28 to 1380 of the family's 1533-position model. The record is from RNAcentral.